RNAcentral lists this ribosomal RNA (792 nucleotides) under uncultured bacterium. RNAcentral's name for it is "bacterial SSU rRNA". It matches the Rfam family "Bacterial small subunit ribosomal RNA", at positions 94 to 863 of the family's 1533-position model. The record is from RNAcentral.
AGUGGCGCACGGGUGAGUAACGCGUGGGUAACCUGCCCUCGAAUCCGGGAUAACUCUGCGAAAGCGGUGCUAAUACGGAUACGGUUUCGAAGACUUAGGUUUUCGGUAUUAAAGGUGACCUCUUCAUGAAAGUUGCCGUUUAAGGAUGGGCCCGCGUACCAUUAGCUAGUUGGUAGGGUAAUGGCCUACCAAGGCUACGAUGGUUAGCUGGUCUGAGAGGAUGAUCAGCCACACUGGAACUGAAACACGGUCCAGACUCCUACGGGAGGCAGCAGUGAGGAGUUUUGCGCAAUGGGGGAAACCCUGACGCAGCAACGCCGCGUGAGCGAAGAAGGCCUUCGGGUCGUAAAGCUCUGUCAAGUGGGAAAAACGUCUACCGGUCAAUAGCCGGGAGAUCUGAUGGUACCGCUGAAGGAAGCACCGGCUAACUCCGUGCCAGCAGCCGCGGUAAUACGGAGGGUGCAAGCGUUGUUCGGAAUUAUUGGGCGUAAAGAGCGUGUAGGCGGUUUAGUAAGUCAGAUGUGAAAGCCCUGGGCUCAACCCGGGAAGUGCAUUUGAAACUGCUUUACUUGAGUAUGGGAGAGGAGAGUGGAAUUCCUGGUGUAGAGGUGAAAUUCGUAGAUAUCAGGAGGAACAUCUGUGGCGAAGGCGACUCUCUGGACCAAUACUGACGCUGAGACGCGAAAGCGUGGGUAGCAAACAGGAUUAGAUACCCUGGUAGUCCACGCCGUAAACGAGGAAAACUAGGUGUAGCGGGUAUUGACCCCUGCUGUGCCGAAGUUAACGCAUUAA